RNAcentral lists this long non-coding RNA (669 nucleotides) under Malus domestica (apple). Its description in RNAcentral is "long non-coding RNA (MDOM_LNC016357)". The record is from RNAcentral. Lineage: Eukaryota; Viridiplantae; Streptophyta; Magnoliopsida; Rosales; Rosaceae.
GUGCCUUUAUCUCCCUGGGCCGCAGAAGAAGUUUGAUCCAUUUAUCAUCCUCCUCAAAUGUGGUUUCGACAUCUCGAUUGACCAGCCGUUUCCCUGGAACCAGCUCUGUCAUAAUCGUUGGAGAUAGUCGUUCAUCGUUAUUGGCAACUGUUUCCUUCGGUCACCAUUUAGGGACCGAAGUUUCUUGGGCUGCCCGUCGGCGGGCCAUGCAAUCUAUUCUUUGGUGCCGACGUUUCUGGGAUUUGGACAGUGCAGUGUAGACACCUUUCGAAGAGUGAUAUGUAUACCAACGCUGGUCUCAAGGUUCGGGAGGUUUGAAAGUUUUUUGGCUCUGCGAUGAUUCCGAGAUGCUAGAAUUACGUUUGUAAUAACCUUCGUCAUAAAACGGAGCAUCAAAAUUGAGGCAUCGUCUGACUGAAGGUGUCUCUUCCACCCGUACUUUAGGACCGAGCUUAUCAAAAACCUCUUGAUGUUGGCCUGCGUUGAGCACCUUUUGCUAUGUUGCGGCUGUAGGUUGUUCCAUUAUAGGCGGAGAGGACUUUUCCUUUGGCUUAGUGUUGACAUUUGCUUUACAUUUGCUCAAUAAAACUGCCAACCCACUGUCUUCAUCAGUGCUGUAAUCUAUCAUGGGCUUGACAAUAGCAGGUCUCGUUGUUGAUGUUGCGUUGG